This 356-nucleotide ribosomal RNA is filed under the name uncultured Rikenellaceae bacterium. Its description in RNAcentral is "bacterial SSU rRNA". It matches the Rfam family "Bacterial small subunit ribosomal RNA", at positions 1034 to 1382 of the family's 1533-position model. Lineage: Bacteria; Pseudomonadati; Bacteroidota; Bacteroidia; Bacteroidales; Rikenellaceae. The record is from RNAcentral.
CGAGGUGCUGCAUGGUUGUCGUCAGCUCGUGCCGUGAGGUGUCGGGUUAAGUCCCAUAACGAGCGCAACCCCUACCUGCUAGUUGCCAGCGGGUCGAUGCCGGGGACGUCUAGCGGAACUGCCAGCGUAAGCUGCGAGGAAGGUGGGGAGUGACGUCAAAUCAGCACGGCCCUUACGUCCAGGGCUACACACGUGUUACAAUGGCCGGUACAGAGGGCAGCCACCCCGCCGAGGGGGCGGCGAAUCCCGAAAGACCGGUCCCAGUUCGGAUCGGAGUCUGCAACCCGACUCCGUGAAGCUGGAUUCGCUAGUAAUCGCGCAUCAGCCACGGCGCGGUGAAUACGUUCCCGGGCCUU